AUUGAACGCUGGCGGAAUGCUUUACACAUGCAAGUCGAACGGCAGCACGGGGGCAACCCUGGUGGCGAGUGGCGAACGGGUGAGUAAUACAUCGGAACGUGCCCAGUCGUGGGGGAUAACGUAGCGAAAGUUACGCUAAUACCGCAUACGAUCUACGGAUGAAAGCGGGGGACCGUAAGGCCUCGCGCGAUUGGAGCGGCCGAUGUCAGAUUAGGUAGUUGGUGAGGUAAAGGCUCACCAAGCCGACGAUCUGUAGCUGGUCUGAGAGGACGACAGGCCACACUGGGACUGAGACACGGCCCAGACUCCUACGGGAGGCAGCAGUGGGGAAUUUUGGACAAUGGGCGCAAGCAUGAUCCAGCCAUUCCGCGUGCAGGACGAAGGCCUUCGGGUUGUAAACUGCUUUUGUACGGAACGAAAAGGCUCUGGUUAAUACCUGGGGCUCAUGACGGUACCGUAAGAAUAAGCACCGGCUAACUACGUGCCAGCCGCCGCGGUAA
RNAcentral lists this ribosomal RNA (500 nucleotides) under uncultured bacterium. RNAcentral's name for it is "partial 16S ribosomal RNA". It matches the Rfam family "Bacterial small subunit ribosomal RNA", at positions 30 to 523 of the family's 1533-position model. The record is from RNAcentral.